AAAAAAAUACUUCAUGCAAGACAAACUGAAUUACUUCAAGGCAGGAAGGAGGAAACACUUAAAGGAGCCUGCAAGGGGACACAGCAUUUCCGGACUGCAGAUCAAGGGAGUAUAGUAACAUGCUGGGGGAAGAGCUUCUUUUUCAUCUGGAUAACUGUGAAUGUACCAGAUGACAGCUUUUUCUUAAUGUGGUAUUUUUUUGCUGGGCUUGCUUUACCUCUUCAGUUCCAUUUACUUCUGCUGGUAGUUUGCAAGUGUCAGUCAUUCCUAGGCUGCGUUUGCUGUUCAGGCAAAUGGAGAGGCAGCCUCUUGCCUGAGAGUGCAAUAAAGCAGAGCCUGCAGCUUCCACAAGGCAGGACUUGAAUGCUUCUGAAGAAAGUCUCCUGUUUGUGGUCAGCAGUUCACCAUCAUGCUGCCUGCUUCCACCACAUGUAUGGGUUGGAUGCUAUGGAGGUGAGUGGGACUGGCUGUGUAAGGCAAAGUAUCCACUGAUGGUGUUUCUGACUGGAAACAGCCCAUGUACCAAAACUGAUCUUUCCCCUGCAGCAUGUGGAGAAGACUGUGGUGGAGCUGGCUGCCCCCCUGAGGCCCAUGGAAGACCAUGAUGGAGUGGAUACCCACAAUGCAACCUGUGGAGGACCCUUGAAGGAAGCUGAAGCUUGUGGAGAGACCACACAGGAGUGGGCUCCUGGUGGGAGCUGUGGCUGUGUGGAGAGGAGCCC
Molecule: long non-coding RNA, 722 nt
Filed under: Anser cygnoides (Swan goose)
Lineage: Eukaryota; Metazoa; Chordata; Aves; Anseriformes; Anatidae
Description: lncRNA (ENSACDG00005006962.1)
Source: RNAcentral